GAGCAAAACCCUAAGUAAAACAAUGGAGUCAAAUCACUAGUUUUCUAGGUUUAUACCGGCAACAUAGUUCAAGUUCAAGAAAAUCGGUAUAAGAAAAAUAGAAAAACAGUAUAACACAAUCCAGAUAGUAACAUUAUUUUAUGCAAAAAUCAGUGUAAAUUAGUAUAACAAAAUCAAAUCAGUAUAACACAAUCCAGAUAGUAACAUUAUUUUAUGCAAAAAUCAGUGUAAAUCAGUAUAACAAAAUUAGUAUACGAAAAUCAGUCUAAACUAGUAUAACACAAUCACUAAAUCAUAAUUUAUGCAAAAAUAGUAACAUUAUAAGAAAAAUCCAGAAAAAAAUCUAAAACCCUAAGUUUACAUACCUUUUCCAGUUUUAUCCAUAAUUUUUGCUUGAAUAGUCAAAAACUCUGUAAUUAGUGGAUCCUUUGAGAUGUGGAGCUGCAAAUCACCAACAAUAACAAAAUAUUAUAAAAAAAACCCUAGAAAUCACAAAAUCAGUAACAUGCAAAAGUUAAUAGACAUUUAUUCUAAAUAUUAUAGUUGAUUUUAAGUAAUAGCGAAGAUUAACAUACCUUUUUUCGAGUUCGAAGUGAUUUUUUGCACUGUAGAAGAUGAGCAGCUUCAGAUCACCAGUUUCUUCACUUCGAUUUCUUGUAAUUACUUUAGUAUCGACGUAUUUGAAGCGUUUUUUAGCACUGUUACAAGCACAAAUUAUAGAUUUGUGCUAGACUGAGUGUUGGUAUCAGGUGAUUUUAGUGGGAGAGAAGAUGGUGGAAUGCGUGUGUAAUUAGUGCCGCUGUAACUGAAUUGAUUGUAACUGUAUGUAUUGUCGGUAAGAAUUUAAAUUUUUAGUGGAUGGGCAGUUGAUAAUUUGUUUGGGCCGAUCACAAAACUAGUGGACUUGGGCCUGUGGUUCGCAGUUUGUAUUUAAGCAGGUAUGUACUCGAGCACCACUCUAUAUAUAUAUAGUUAAGUUCCAUGGAGUACAUAAAAGCAUUGGAAUAUUGGUGUACAAAUCAUAAUUUUUUAAUUUGAUCCUAUAUAAUAUCUUUGAUUAUCCAAAUUUUGAUAUAAUCUAUCAUUUAUAAGUUGUGUUGCACAUAAUUGUCAAUUAAUCAUUAAUAUCUGUCAACUUUAACAAGUAUUAAGAUUAUUGUUCUGCUUAUUAGUUAUAUUGCAGAACAUAGAGUCUUAUGAUUUAUAAAAGUAAUUAUUCUACCAUUUGAUCACGAUGUUUAUGUUGCAGAACAUAAUGUGCAGGUUGUCAAAUAUUUACAAAUAUUAUUGGACAAAAAAAAUUGAAAUUUAGAUGAUUAGAUUACAUUUUAUCAAACUUUGUACUUCAAUACUCCAAUUUUUUUUUGUACUCCAUAAAACUUAUAUACUCCCUCUGUCCCUCUCAUUUCUUUACAGUUACUAUUUUGGGAUGUCCCUCUCAUUUCUUUACAUUACCAUAAAUAGUAAGUUUUCUCCAUCAUUACACCCACUAUCUUCCCCCACUAUCUCAUAUUUAACAAUAAAAACUACUAUUACACCCACUACUUUCCUCCACUAUCUCAAAUCUAUUAUUAAAAAUUGAUUGGUCCCACCACUUUACCCACUUUUCAUCUAACUUUACUCAUUUUUCAUACAUUGUCUUGGUCUCCGUGUCCCCCUCCAAUGUAAACAAUUGAGGGGGACGGAGGGAGUAUAUAUUAAAUAUAAGUAUACAAGUCUUACCUAAUAAUAAAUUAUAUUAUAUUUGUUAUUAUAAAAUUAAAUUCAAAAGAUGACAUUAUUUAAAACUAAUUUGUUAAUACUUAUAAUAUAAAAUUUAAAAUUAUUAAAAUAUUAAUAUUUUAAAUUUAUUUUCAGAACCGCGCGAAGCGCGGUUUUAUCACCUAGUUUUGUUAUAAUAUUAAUUAAUAACGAAUUCGUGCGAUUAUAGACAUAAAUUUAUCAGUUCAUCACCUACACUUUUAAUUAAAAUUCCAUUUAAUUGUCAGAAAGUAAUCCAAAUCCGAUUUUAAGAAUUUUUUUAUUUUUUUUGAGUAACGAUUUUAAGAAAGUUAUUUUUCCGGAACAAAAAAUCGUCGAAAAAUGUAUAUCGAAAUGUGUUCGAAAAAUAUUUUAUACAAAGGAAAGAAAGCAGGCCGUUGAGCGGCUUGGAGUUCGGAGUUGAGACGACAGAAAGCACACGGCUGUAACAAAAGUACACAAGUGACAAACAUGUGUGUCAGUGUCUCUAUACAUAUCCCCAUCUCUAUCUCAACUCGAGUCAAUUUUAGUCCUGGUCCAAAAUAAAAAUCUCCUAGUAAUAAAACAAAACUAAAGCUGGCGAAAAUGGUGGUCGGUGGCCGUACUUCCGGCGUGCUUUUCUUGGUGGUUCUGACGGCGAUCGUGACGGCGGUGACCGGGAAUUCAGAGGGGGAUGCGCUGGUCGCGUUGAGACGCAGCUUGACAGAUCCCGGCAACGUGCUUGAUAGCUGGGACUCUACUCUUGUGAAUCCUUGUACUUGGUUUCAUAUUACUUGUAAUCAAGAUGGUCAUGUCACUAGAGUGUAAAUAACUACACCCCUUUUAUUUCUUUUGUAUGUGUGUGUGAUGCUUGUUUAGUUGUGUGUGUGUGUGUUUUGAUUUUGUUUAUGUGUGAUUUUGUGUGUUUAAUUUGGGGGUUUUUAUAUGUGUGUGUGUAUGUCAUGUUUGGAUGUUUUGAUUUGGUGUUUAAGAUUUGUGUAUGUGAGGGUUUUCAGUCUGUAUAUGUGUGUGUCUAUUUGGUGUGUAUUUGAUGUUUACAUGUUUGAUUUAGGUUUGUGCAUGUUUUUUGUUUGAAUUUCGUAUGUUUGAUUAUUUGUGGGUUAAUGUUUUGUGCGUUUAGAACGGUGGAUCGAAAUUUAUGUCUCUGAAAUUUCUAUUGAUUGACAUGUCGUUUAUUUACUAGUUUGAUGUUCUUUUUUGUUAUGUAUGUGAAGGCCUAUAUUGAGUUUGGUUGGGCUUUAUUUGUGUAUAUGAAGGUUAUUAAUUAUAUUAUUAGUCAUAGAUGUUCUAUUGUUUUGGAUUGUGUUUUAUUGCUUGAAUUGUAGUUUAUACGAGUUACUAUUCUUUACUAUUAUGAGGUCUUUUUUCUAUUCUUGUGAUGGGCUUUUCGUGAUUGUUAAGGCUUUUUCUAUUUAUGUGAAGAGCUUGUUGAGAUUGUUAAGGCUUUACGUGUAUAAAUGAAUGUUUCAAUCUGUAUGUGGAACUGUUUCUUAGUAUACAUAUAUUGUGUUUCUGGAUUGAGUGUUCGCUACUUGAUUUUUAUUUGACAAGGUUUUGUUUUCUAUACUUGGUUGAUUAUUUUUUUCCCUACAUAUGUGAAGGUCUUUAUUCAGAUUGGGAGUAAUUAAGUUAGGGUCAUAAACUUAUGUGAACUCUAGCAAUAAAUCGUAGCAAAAAGGUGUUUUUGAAAAUUUCAUAUGAUAAGGCUGCGCGGGCAAUGCUUUUCCUUGUCGUAUUAGAUAGUCAAUAACUAUGAUUGAUCUUGGGGAAGGGAACUGCUCAAAUUAUGAGAUUCGGUCAUGCAACCUUUUACGUAGGCAGCGGUGAACCGUAUAUUUGGACCAAUGGGCUGUUAUAAUUUGUCUGACUCUUUAUUUAUUUUUUCAGUUUGCUGAUAUAUCUGGACGACUGAAGCAGUGUACUAAAUUUUUGUGGUUUAGUAGAAUAAUUCUCUGACGUUCGCUAUUUGGGAUAAUAUUUGCAUGCUUCUAAAAUAUAACUUUUCGUUAUGGCGCCGCAAGUAAAACGGUUAUCUAAUGCUAUUCACAGCAUCACAUUAUAUGAAUUUUGUUACUCUGUUGGAGACCCAUUUUUUGUUGUAAGAAUUAUCCUUUUUAUUCUCCUAUAUUAAGAAUCUGCUAUAUCUGCUCCCACCAUCCCCAUCAGUAUCUACUUUUUAUACUUCCUUAAUAUGGCCAAAGAUAGGAAACCAGUGCCACAAUUUAUAGAAGCAACUUGACAUACUUAUUAACAUGCUUUGAUUAAAUUUGGAAAGACAAUCUAUUUACUUUUGCAAGUCUCAAAUGUCGUUAUUUCAUUUAGUUCAGUCUUGCGCUGGUCGGGUCAUGGCUCAAAUUCAUCAUGUACUAACUGCUUGUUAUUAAUUGCUGCAGGGACCUUGGUAACACAAAUUUGUCUGGUGUUUUGGUACCUGAUCUCGGAAAACUCCAAUAUCUCCAGUAUCUGUGAGUACUUGUGAUUGCAAUAGCUCUUAUGUGCUGCUAAUGAUGAACAUAUCAGUUGGUUACAUGAGCUCUAACAUAACUGAUGUCAAGUUUUCAGAAAAUAAAUAUUAAUACAGAUAUUUUAAUGAACUAAAAAAUGUAAUCCAAACUUGUUAUGAUUCAGUGAGCUUUACAAAAAUAACAUUCAUGGGACUAUCCCAAACGAGCUGGGCAAUUUGAAGAAUCUAAUAAGCUUGGACUUGUACAACAACAAUCUCACAGGGAUUAUUCCUCCUACUCUGGGAAAGUUGCAGUCUCUUAUUUUCUUGUAAGUUGGCCGCCUUCUCACUGAAGUGUCUCCAUUUAUAUAUGCCUGUAAAAUUUAUUCACCUCAAUUAUCAUUCAAGAAGAAGACUGCUGCCUAAUUGGAAAGGAGGAUUCUAGAUAAAGUCACGAGUCCCUUUUCUCUGUAUAUAUCUCAAACAUCACUCUAUGUACUAACUAUGGAUUAAAACUUGACAUUCUCUUUUCCAGGCGUCUGAGCAAUAAUCGUCUGGUUGGGAGAAUUCCCAGGGAACUUGUUAACGUUUCCACCCUGAAAGUUGUGUAAGUGUUCAACAUUUCGUUGAAGUUGCAUAUAUAGAGUAGUAAAUGAAUUGUUGUAAUAAACGUUUUUAUGUAUUUCAGUGAUGUCUCAAGCAAUGACUUAUGCGGAACAAUUCCUACCAAGGGUCCAUUUCAGCAUAUUCCAUUAAGCAAGUAAGACUUGUUAGAGCAUAUUGUUUGCCUAUUUUUCGGUGCUUCAUAUUUUCUAGAUGUCAUUUUACCUUUUCUGGUUCAAACUGUGCAGCUUUGCUAAUAAUCCUCGACUCGAAGGACCAGAGCUGGAGGGGCUUGCGAGGUACGAUACAAACUGCAUAUGAACAGGAGAUCAGAGGUGCAUGAAAAUGCAAGUGAUAAUGUGUGCUAGUUUAAUACUUGUGUCUUAUAAAAAAGUAUCAGAAUAGCAUCUUGUCUUACAAGAUGUUUAUAUAUGUAAGCCCUAUAUGAGGCUUUGUGGUGUAACUUUGUGAUGAAAAUCAAUGUGAAAGAUGACUGUCAGCAAACCUGGAAUCAUGUGAAACCCGGUUAUGUUGUCUGUUAUCGUUAUGGCGAGUUUCAUAUAAGAAAGAAUUGGCGCUACAAGUAUAUACUUGCACAUAAAACUUGCAUUAUUUAGCAUAAGGAUUAAAGAUGGUAAUAAUUCAUGAAGGAUCGACUUCAUGGAUUAAUUAUCAACUCUAUUUCCUUACGUAGGACAGCAAUAAUAAUUUUUCAAGUUGUUUCGGAAGAUUUAAUAUGUAAACCAGUAUUGAUUUGAAAUUCUCACCAGUAAAGAAAAUUGCCUGGUGGCAUCUAAUUUACAGGGGUAAAAGUGCUCUUGUGGUGUUUUGUGAUAACAGUAACAGAUGCCAUAUCACUUUUAACCUCUUCAGCUGCCAUAGUCAUGUUAUUGGCCAUUCUCAUGGCACUGUAUAAAGAAGAAGAUUUCUUGAAAUCCCUGCCUAUGAAACUGAUGUUUGCGCUCCUGACAUGACUCCUUGCGAUUAUGGCCAUGAUGAUUGCUUUCAGCGCCAGCUUCGUUCUGUUUUUUUGAAAGUGGCAAAUGGGUCACUUUUUUUAACUGGAAUUCUAUCGAAAUACCCCCUCGUCUCAAUUUAUAAGUUAUUUUUGUUUUUUCAAGAGUCAAAUUGACUAAUUUUAUAAAUUUCAGUUGAAGUAUAAUCAAUUUGACUAGUCAAAAGAGACUUAUAUAUUGAGACGCAAAGAGUAUAACGUAAAAUCUAUUUUGGGGCCUCUCUCUAUACAAUAUGAUAUUAGAGCUCAAAUUCGAGGAAGGUUUUAAGUUCGAUUCUUAUCGGAGCUUAGAUUUGAAUGACGGCCAUAGUAUCUGUUUUUCAUCCAUUAUUCGAUCUAUUUCCUGAUUCCGCAAUUUGAUCCUUCCCGGUCCCUCUUCCAUAUUGAAGUAAUCGCAAAAUUUAGACUUAAUCACCAAAAAAAUCAUCAAACUCUUGUGAUUUUUUCAUUUUAACCAUAAAACUAAUUUUGUUGCAGAAAAAUGCAAUUAAUUAAUAGAAAACAUACUUGAGGGAACCUAAUUUGAAAUAGUUUCUAACCAUAGUUAAAUGGUAUCCUAUGCAGCAUUUCUAAAAUAUCUUUUUUGUAUAUUUUUAUUUUAAAUAUUUACAUAAUUCAUUAUACACACACCAAACAAUUAGUUUUUAUUUGAAUUAUUAGGGUUCGUCAUAAUAUAAUUCUAAAUUAUUGUCGGAAAAAUAAUGAAUUUAAUUUAUAAGUUUACAUUUUAUUUUUAUUAUUAAGAAUUUAAUUUAAUUUAAUUCUUUUGAAAUACCAACAGCCUACCAGGUAAAUUAAAAUGAACUCUUACUAAUAAAGAUAAAAUGUAAAUUUAUAAAUUAAAUUAAUUAUUUUUCUAACAUUAAUUUAAAAUUAUAUUAUGACGAACCCUAAUAAUUCAAAUAAAAACUGAUUGUUUGGUGUGUUUAUAAUGGAUUAUGUAAAUACUCCCUCCGUCCCAAGUCAUGCUUUUUUGAUUUUCAAGAAGUCACAUAGAACAAUCUUUGACCAUAUGUUAAAAAUUAUUUAUUUAUUAUUUUAGAAAAUAAAAAGUCACACUUUAAAAUAGAUUAAAUAUCCUUUAAAAUGACAUAAUUUUUUUUAUUUUUUUCUAUUAUUUAAUAUAUAAAAAUUUAAGUCAAAAUAUAGUUAAUUUGACUGGUCAAAUAUCAAAAUAAACAUAUAUUUUGGGACGGAGGGAGUAUUUAAAAUAAAAUUAUAAAAAAAGAUAUUUCAGUAAUGUUGCAUAGGAUACCAUUUAACCAUGGUUAGAAACUAUUUAAAAUUGGUCUCUCAAAUUUGUUUUCUAUUAGUUAGUUGCAUUUUUCUGCAACAAAAUUAGUUUUAUGGUUAAAAUGAAAAAAUCACAAAAGUUUAAUAGUUUUUUCGGUAAUUAAGUCUAAAAUUUAUUCGCGAUGUAUAUUUGAGCUAGACUACUAAAUUUUCCAAUAAAAUUAUAAUUUUUUGCAAAAAAAUAUAUCAACAGUUUUUUUGUCAAUAAUCUAAAAAAAAAGUUUGGUUGUUUAUAAAAGAUGCAUCUCCUUCUCGCAUGUCGAGUUCUUAUUAAGAGAAACUUUGUUUACUAUAAAAAAUAUAAUAAUUUUAAUUAUCAAAGUAUCCCUGACAUUUUUUUUUUUAAUUUAAGUGCAGGAUUUCUAAUCUUUUUGACUAAGCCAAAUACUAGAACCAGGCCAUCAUUUCCAAAAUAAAUAAAUAAAUAAAACGAAGCCUGAUAUAUGCAGAAUCGAAAUGAAAAAAUUACACAUUUGUUUCGCUCAUAUAUAUAACCUUGAAGACCUAGCCCUAAUACUCUCUUCUAUACAUGCAUCCUUGUUUUCUCCCUCUAAACACAAGGUUUAAUCAUUUGCAUACCAUGAUUGAUCUUAUUUAUAGAUAUCUGCAUGUUUAUGCAAUAAUAAUCUUGAUUACUUUGUGUUUUGCAGAUAAUUAUUGAGGACAAAAGGAUGGACGUCCAAGUUCAAGUUUACUUUAAUAUAAGCUUCGGAUGAAUUUAAAUCAAGGUCUAUUUCUCCGAUUUUCGAUAAUUUAGAUUAUGAUUAUAUCAUCUGUACAAAAUUUGUUAUGGAACCGACAGAUCAAGGUUUAUUCAGUUCGGAUUUUGAAUGGCUUUUUUUUUUUUUUUUGAAUUCACGGGUAUUCAGUUCGGAUUUUAUUUGAUUUACGAAUUACUGAAUUGGAAAUAUAUGUAUAGGAUCAUUUCAUUACUAAUAGUUUAUGCAAUUCAACUUGGUGAAGUUGUUAUGAGUUUGUUUUUGAUAGAAAACUCUGGCCAUGAGUCUGUAGUGAUGUAUUUAAUUUGAUCGAGGAUCACACUUUUCUUUUUCAAAUUUCGCAGCCAUCCGCACCUGAUUAUCUUGCGGCGGAAGGGACGGAAAGUUAUUAUGACUAGCUUCAUCUUUCCUUCCUGUAAAAGCGUGUGUUUGAGUAUGGCUUUGUUUUGAAAAUUGAAAUUAAACUCAAAACUUAUCACACCCCUCGGGUUUGACAUUUUAUCGACUAUAUUGAUCAGCUAUAUUUUGAGGUCAUUUAUGCAACUAUGAUGCUGCGACUAUUGGGUCGCAGAUGGUUUGCAGAGUUAAUUUGCAGUGAAAAAUGUCUGAAAUUAGUUAAUUGUACGAUCUGUAUUGUACCUUUUAUAAAUUAUUACACGUCGCAGGAUUCAUGACUAGAAAUAUUUUAUAAAUCUAUAGGCGGAUGCUUCCUUGAAUGCCAGUUGUGUGUGUGCGUGUGUGUAUUAAAGAAUCCGUUAGUAUAGUAAUCUCCUAUAAAUUUCAUUAGUCAACUCUUGCUCCCUCUAGGACGAGUCAUUAACUGUCAUUUCUUUAACCGAUUAAGUGGAAACUAAUUAACUAAUGCAGGGCCAAGAAGACGAAGAAAAUGUCAUCAUCAAACUCUCCAUGUGCAGCUUGCAAGUUACUCCGGAGAAAAUGCACACAGGAAUGUGUAUUCGCCCCCUAUUUCCCACCGGAUCAACCUCAAAAGUUUGCAAAUGUUCACAAGGUUUUUGGCGCAAGCAAUGUAGCUAAACUGCUUAAUGAUUUACCUGCAGUACAGCGGGAAGAUGCUGUCAACUCUCUGGCCUAUGAGGCUGAUGCUCGUCUCCGGGAUCCUAUUUAUGGAUGUGUGGGAUUAAUCUCCAUCCUCCAGCACAAGCUGAAGCAGGUACAGAUGGAAUUGUAUAAUGCCAAGAAAGAGUUAUCGACUUACAUUGGGCCGUCUGCAAUGUUGCCUAUACUCCCUGCUCCAGGAAAUUUCAUUCCUCCAUACCAACAUCAGCAACCGUCUCAGAUGAUGCCAUACAAUAUGCAAGCGGCUCAAAUGAUGGGGGGAUCACCACAAAAUGUGGUGAAUCCUAAUCCACUAGUGAUCCAACAACAGCAGAACUAUCAACAAAUUAUGGAGGCUCAGCAAGUAGCAGCAGUGGUGGCGGCUGCUAGAGAACAGGAAAUGUUGAGGAGUUAUGAGCAGCAACAGGCCGUCCUGACACAACAGCAAGGACGUCACUCUGAUCAGGUGAGGUAUGAUGCAACAGGCCAGGGCACGGACCAUGCUCGUGGUGCUGUGUUUAAUCACAUGGGUGUUUCAGCCGGGAUGGCACCUGCAUUGGGUUUGGGUUCGUUUGAAGGUUCUUAUCAGACUCAGCAACACACACAAAAUGAUCAGCCUCAUCAUGAACUUCAGGCCACACAAACUUUUCUUGAGGAACAGCAGCAGCAAGGUUUGGCACUGGCUCAACCCCAGCAGUUGGAUCCAACACAGCAGCAGCAAGGUUUGGCACUGGCGCAGCCCCAACAGUUGGAUCUACAGCAGCAGCAGCAGCAGCAGCAACAGCUUCCGCUUCAGCAGCACAGAGAUGGAAGUGAAGAGGAGGAGUGAAGCAUUGGUCCUCUGUGAUACUUUCCAACACUUUUUUGGUUAGUUAGGUAAGCUAUUCAUCUCUUUUUUUGGCAUCGAAUAUUUGCCGCUACUGUUUUCUGGAUUUGAAUUCAGUCAGGGUUUUACUGCUCACCAUCACUACAAAAAACUCUCCAUAUGACCCUGAAGUACAAUUCCAAACUGUUUCUAUGACAGACAGACUCUAUCAACUUAUGUUUUAAAAGUCAAAAGAAUUAUUCAAUCAGGAAAAAACACUACCAUUUGGAUCAUUUAACUGCAAACAGUUACAUGAACCUCAAUAUUACCAACAUAUGAAUUGGUUUUCGGCAUAAGAUUUGGUAUUAUGAUUCUUAGCUUGAACUGGGUUCUUCUCUAGGGAGGGGGAAAGGCCGGAGUUACUCCUCCAUAGUUAUUCGUUGAAUUUUUGUCUUGUCAUCGCCCAAAUAUGAUGCACAUCUGGUAAUGAAUAAUGAUUAAACCACUUCUGCAUGCAUCAACUCUUGUUUGCUCAUCGUUGCUAGUCUUUGUCGUGUAAAUAUUAUUUUGCUUAACUUUCAUGUGUUCAUGUAGUUCUGUAGGUAUGGAUUUGAAUAUCCUCCUCCUCUUGUUCUUAGAAAUAUAAGUGUUUCAUUUGUGAUCUUAUUAUUUCUUCUGCAGCUGACUACUUCUGUCGUGUGUAAGCCAAGCGUGCAGCGGAAAAAAGAGAAAGAAGGAGAGAUAUUCACAUCUGAGAGAGUAAAGGUUGUAAUUCAGUGAGUAGCUAUCUAGUGUUUGUAAAUUUACAGUAUUUUUUGGAUAUUGAACAUGCAAACUGUAUUACGUACUAAGCUCAAGGAUAUCGCAUUCUUCUAGUGUUGGUGUACAACACUAGAAACUGGUGUCACAUGAAAUUAAUGGCAGAAGAGAAGUAUGUAUGAGAAAAGAGUCAAGAAACCGAUAGACUCCAGAUUUGAAGGAUAUUAGUUCCAAGUAGAAAUGAGCAUUCAUCCCCAAAUGUGUUAAACUGACCUCUUAUUCCAACGCGUAAUGAAAUAGUUGAAAGUUUAUUUACCCAAAUAUUAGAUAUAUAUUUUUUCUCUUUUGACCAUAUCGCUGGACCAAGAGGCCAUUGGUUUAGAUAUAUUUUACUUGAUGAUUGAACAUAUCUACUUGCAAGUAAAGCAAGUAUCCGAGUGCGCAGUACGCUUACAUUUAGUUAAUUGAGAUAUCGAUGUUAGAUCUUGUUUUAAUAUUUCAUUCCCCAUGUUACACUGCUAGUUGAAAAUUAUGUUAAUGUACUUGCUUAGAUACAGAUCACCGAAAGAUCCUUAUUGCUCUUAUAGAAUGUCAAUAUCAGUAGUUUAUGCAGUUGGAAACCGUGUUGCAUUCAUAGCAAUUGUUCACGUUGAGCUCUACUGGAAACUGCAUCAUCCAGAAAACUCAAAAAACUAUACACAAAUGUUCUGAUAGCAGUUCAAAUCUGCAGGUACGUUAUUACGAAGCAGCCAUUUUUAACUGACAUCAAAUUUAGUAUAUAAGAGUAUUAUUAGUUGAGUCAGAAUCGAAGUCAAGGUGUUUGUGAUAAUCUGAGUUUAUUUUUUAUGGAAAAUAAUCUGAAUUAAAAUUUGAGGUUUAAGCCGUGAGCAUCGGAAACGUAAACUUCAUUUUCUCUCCUCUGAUUAUAUAAUCUAUUACUAUGUAGAUGAUGUUAAAGACUAUUGUGCGUGUAAAAAGUGGUGAAAUUAUCAUGUCACUAUAUCAUCUACGACUCCAUGGUCACUGGAGUUCUGAAACUCUGGCAUUGUUUCAUCGCGUUUAUGCAUAUGAAGUUACCAGACUAGUAGUAAUAUGUAGUUAAGUGAAUCUCUUCAGUUGCCAGUGGCUUUAAGUCUAAAAUGAUCUGAUCGAGACGAGACUAGUAGUAAUAUGUAGUUAUGUACCGGUAGACGAUCUUCAAUCCCUCAAUCCUGACCGACUUGUUUAUAAAAACGUAUCAAACAGCCCUACUAGCCGGCUCUAGCUGAUAACUUAAUGAUCCAAUCUCGUUGUAAAAUCGUGUAAGAAUCUUGUUGUAGAAUCGUGCAAGAGCAUUUUAAUGUCUGAUUUUAGAUAUGUGAAAUUUCAUCAGGAUACAGAAAUAUAGAUAAGCAUUCAACUUAUUACGACUAAAUAUAUCAAAAGUGAUUAAUGAUAUGCAUUCUGUUUACAGAUAUCCUGGAGAUUGUGAAAUGUGUUUUUGUUCGGACUGCAUCUACUCUCCUUGAUAGUGCAAUGUUACUAAAAUCAAACAAAGUUUGUUGUUUAUGAAUCAUGUUCUCUUAACUUGAAAUCAACUACUAUAUAUACCACAAUUUCACACGUUAUAUUUAAAAUAACAAAAUCACGAAAAAUAGUUUGAAAUAUUAUUUAUUAAUACCGAUGAUCUAACGUUUUAAUUUUUGGAAGAAAUCGUACAUGAUAUCGUAUUUAAAUUUGAAAUCAGUACAAAAUAUUUUACAUGCUAUACAACAUGAUGUUAAAAAUGAAAGAGGGAUGGACUCCAUACAAUCCAACAUUUUGGAUUGCAAACCGAUAUUUAUUGGUAUUUUCUCAAUGAUAUUUGUGACUUACCCUCUAAUAAAAGUGAUAAAUCGGGUUAAUAUUCAAAUUCUUUUUUGUGGGUUAACACCCAAAUUCUUUUUUGUUGCUACGUUGCGUGGUAUAAAUCAUGGAUCAUCCUUGUUUAUUUAAAAAAUCAAACAUUUUAACUAUUUUUAUUGAAUUUUUUCUCUCUGAAAACAUAAUCACAUAAUUAUUUUUUUUUGUUUUUUUCCUACAUGCUGAAUUUUCUCCCCGAGAAUUUUCAAAAUAUAAAAUGCAAAUAUAGUUUCAUAUAUAGGCAUGCAGAUGUAUCUGUUUUAGGGUCUGUUUGGGAAUACUGUUAAAAAUUGCUGCAGUCAGAAAAAAUGCUGUUGCAGAAAUCAUAUAACUGUUUGGUAAUUUUUUUGAUAUAUGCUUAAUUUGAGUUAUAAUAUAAAAAAUAAUAAUUUUUUGGUGAGGUUUGAUAUUGAAAUUUGUAACAGCUUCCUGCAAAAGUUGAAAACAACUUUUUCCAAAAGUAUGAGAGAGCCUACUUUUUCUAAAAGCAGCUUUUUAGCUAAAAUCUGCUGUUCAGAAAAGCUGUUUUUAGUUUUACCAAACAGUUUUUCACCUGCUUUUCGGCAAAAAGAUGCUGUUGCUGUUGCAAACAGCAACCCCAGACAUUGUCUUAGCCGAUGUGAUGUGACGCUUUCCAAUUUUAGUUGCGCAAGUUUCUCUAUAUAUAUGAUGUACUACACAAAAACUGGCAAUUACAUUUUGGGUAAUGCGUCUUUAAUACCAUCAUCGUAAACUGGUUUAAAGUGGAGCUUAGCCAAUUCUGUCUGAUUGGGUUGGGUAUAUAAGAUGGGUGCAAAACUGGAGAUCGUUAGUAGUCCUUGUGGAUGACAUGGUAUCAUAAACUUUCGACGCAUAAGAACUGCGUGUAUAGCAGCUAUGAAUAAGUAUAAAGUAAUUGAAAAAAAAUGCCCUGGUUGUGAAAUUCAUAAACUCAAAUAUUCAACUACUCGCAUCCCUGUCAAGCAUUUGAUCUUUGUCUGGGUUGUUACUCUCUCAGCAGGUCCUCUCUCUCUCUCUCUCUCUCUCUCUCUCUCUCUCUCUCUCUCUCUCUCUCUCCCCCUCUCUCUCUCCACCUCUCUCCCCCCUCUCCCUCUCCCUCUUCUUAAUUUCAUAUUAACCUUACAUGUUAAAGCGCUAAAAUGUUGCUCUUGUAUGGUUAAAUAAUUUUUUGUUACGACUUAUGGUUCUUUAUCAAUUCUUCUUUUGGAAUUGCAUGCUAAUAUACGUCUUUGGUUUUUUAAUUUGCAGCCUUACCGAUAUCCUCCCUGUUUACUUUUGUGUAUUUUAUGGUAUGCAUAAAUCUUUCUUUGAUGAAGCCGCGGGCACUACUCCAGUAGAAUUUGGGAGUGUUAAUUUAAUUGAUAUUUUUUCUGAUUCGACUCUGUUUUUAUUUACAUUCGUAGAUGUUCUAUUUAUGGUGUUUCCAAAUUCCGCAUACUGCAGAUAAGGGACUUUCAGAUUGCAGAAAGAGAGGAGGACAUUGGUUACUAUGCUGGAUUUCUAAGCAAGUUUAUAAGAAAUAUCUACUUAAAUUACGCAUCCAUUCUAUAUUGUUGUUGCUUUUAACAUUUGUUAUCCUAUUAGGUUCCUCAUUUAUGUUUGGGAGAGCUCUGACAUCUGUGCUUUGGGGAAUUUUGGCUGAUCGUUAUGGUCGAAAGCCUGUGAUUAUAUUUGGCACAAUUUCAGUGUUAGUUUUAUGAUCCCGAGUGUUAAUAAUUCAUUGAUAUAGUAGGUUUCUGUUAAUAAUCUUUGCCUCCAUAUCUUUUGAUGAUUACAGGGUUAUUUUCAAUACUCUCUUUGGCCUUAGUACAAGCUUCUGGAUGGCAGUUUCUACGAGGUUUCUUCUAGGAAGUUUGUGCGGAAUACUUGGCCCUAUGAGGGUAUGUUGAUAUUCAUCUAAUUUCAUUGCACUUCUGCAGUACAUGAUACUUGGCUUGAAAUUCAAUCCGGCAGGGUAGGUUUUGCUUGAUUCAAAUUAAAAGAGUGAUACACUGAUACACAGUUACACUUAGAAUCUGUAUACCAUGGUUGUCAUGUCGGUCGACUAGUCGCGACUAGUCGACGACUAGUCGACUAAGCGGUGAAUGGAUGUCGACUCAACAUGUCGACUAGGUGAAUGUCGAUAUUUCGGUCGCUUGGUCGACUAAGCGGUCGACUAGUCAACGACUAGUCGACUAGUCGAGUUUGGGCCACCGACUAGUCGACUGUUUUUCUGCAAUUUGCAUUCUGCAUAAUUAAUUCUGCAUAAUUUUUGUUAUUUGUUUACUAUACUGCCACAUCACAUCAGUAUCACAUAAUUGAUAUCUAUCAAUUGUGAGCUUGAACUUUAUAUAUAUCUUACGUGAUCGUGAGUACUUUGCUUUGUUGUUAACUAUUUUCGCUUUUCCAUCAUUCUCUUUAAGUGUCCGGUUCUUAAUUCCUUAGAAUCUGGAACAAAAUAUUAUGGAAGGUACAUAAUACAAAUAUAUGUAUGUGUUUAUAUGUAUAUAAUAUUUUUUAAUUCAUAAUAAAUAUAUAUAUUUUUUAGCGACUAGUCUACGACUAGUCCACGACUAGUCGACUAGUCGUCUAGCGGGAGGUCUAUCGACUCGCCUCGACUCAUCGACGUGACAACCAUGCUGUAUACCAGUGUCAUCACGCAUUAGAAAUAAUGGCAGUAUUCUUUUUACAUUUACGACGAUCAUCCCUAUCAGAGCAUGAAACCAUAAAUGCCAUUCAUCCGAUCACGUCUCCUGAAAUAUAUACGUUUGAGAUAUUGAGUGAAGCUGCACAAACAUUUUUGGUCACUUUGAAAUAAUGAAGUCAUACACGUAAGAUUGUAUGUUUCGUUUGUUUAAGUUUUAUAUGGUACAAUGGUUCUUAAGUCACCUCCUUUGUAUUUUAUUAUUUAAACAUCUUUUAUCUGUAAUUUCAAAUGUCAAGUAACUUAAUUUCACUUUUGAUUCCAGGCAUAUGCUACAGAAGUUUGUCGUAGAGAACAUCAAUCUUUGGGAUUGUCAGUCGUAUGUUGUUACCUUUUUCAGUUUAACUCUCUCGAUUGCUCUUUCUCUGAUUCCUCAUGAGAUGUAUUGUCAUUUCAGAUUAGCACAUCAUGGGGGGUAGGGCUGGUCAUUGGACCGGCUAUUGGAGGCUAUUUUGCACAGGUAUGGCUACUUUUCUUGUAAGUUUAUCCGUUGUUUUACUUGUUAUAGACAACAUUUUAUCGAACUAAGAAGUAUCAAUGGGUGUUUCACAUAUAGGUUGAUUGUUGUUUUACUUUGUGUUACUCAUAUAGUUUUUUCUAUUCAUUCAUUCUGUAGCCAGCAGAAAAUUAUCCCAACAUAUUUUCUGAAAAAUCUAUCUUUGGAAGGUAUGUAUGUGUAAUCUAAUUUAUGUAUGUGUCAUUACUGAUUCCUAGAAUUUUAAUAUUCCUUGCUGAUGUGGCAACUAUAUACACGUCAAUAUUUAUGUCAGGUUUCCGUACUUUCUGCCUUGCCUUUUGAUAUCACUCUUUGCUUUCCUUGUAUCCAUCAUCUCAUUUUGGCUCCCGGUAUGUUAGUCCGAGCUGAAAUUUUAUUUGUAGUUCAUUACCUUUAUGUUUUGCCAUAUUACUAUUGUCUCAAAGGUUAAAUUACAGUCUUUUUUCCGAAUGCCCUCAUGCCAGUUAUAACUGGUUUAGUGUAUUGAUAUCAUAUAACUAAACUACAGAUGAAGCUUGAUAGCCAGUUGUUACCCUCAUGUUCUGUAGCUGAUUUGGUUUUUACUUCCUUUUUCUGGUUAUUUUCACGGAGAGUGUAGUGGAAGCAACUUCCAUGUAAGUACACAAGUACAGAGAUUGACAUUGUUCUAUUUCCCAAUCCUGGGUUGUUAUAGGAAACACUGCACAUUCAUCAUGGAAAUAAAAAUGAACAAUGUGAUGCAGCUGAUGCAUUGGAGAAUUCAAUGUAUAAGUAUCGUGUAGACGGAGUAAGUCGUCAUGGAAAUAAAAAUGAACAAUGUGAUGCAGCUGAUGCAUCGGAGAAUUCAAUGUAUAAGUCUCGUGUAGACGGAGUAAUUCGUUCCAAAGAGAGGCUUCCAAGUUCUAAACUGAGCCUUUUGAGAAACUGGCCCCUGAUGUCUGCCAUAACUGUGUAUUGUGUUUUCCAGCUCCAUGAUACAGCCUAUGCUGAGGUAAUCGCCUUUCUUGUUUAAUGCAUAUAAAUUUAUAAGAUAAGUUUACAUAUUUCAUAAUAAAUUUUCCCAGUCAUUGAAGUCCACAAUUAGAUAUAUUGUAUGAUGUACUUAUGGAACCUCGGACAUCGAUCUUUACUCUAAUAUCAUCAUAGGGAUAAACCAUUGUUGACUCUUGUAUGUGCCUUGAAACUGUGGUCCAACCAGAUUCAGGAAAACCUUUUGUAAACUCUGGGGUUGAAACUUUUUCUUUGUAUAGUGAACCCUUUAAAUUCAGACCACAUGUGUGCAUACCUAUACCCAGCUUUAGGAUAGCCUACAUUGCUCCAUUCUAAGACAGAGAGAAUUAUAAAAACUCUGUUCUUUUGGCACUUUCCUGUUCGCUUAACAUUUCACAAUCUGCAUAUUUGUCUCAAACAUAUGCUUUAUUCUCUUCAGGCAUUCACAUUGUGGGCUGACAGCCCUAGGAAGUAUGGAGGACUGCACUAUAAAAUUCCAGAAGUUGGUGAAGUCCUCGCCAUUUCAGGUAUUUCGGUAGGGAUGAUCAUGUAUUUAGGUAGGGACUUAUAGUCCUGGAAGAUCAUGAUCAUUUUCCUAGCAAUUGCCAAGUUAUACUUUAAACUUCCACCCUUCUAAUCUGAUAGCGGGGAAAUUGAAAACCGUAGGCUGCAAAACAUAGUUUGAAGAUCUCUUGUUUUAAGAGUGACAAUAACUACUUUAUUAGAUUCCCAUCUUAUAGUUUCAUCACUCUGGCACUAUAUAUGUUGGAUGUUGUUUGUUGUAUCUUUAGAAAAACUAGUGUCCUAUCUGUUGGUAAAUUGUUCCUACUCUUGUCUGAGAGACUUGUCCAGAAAAAUCUAUAAGUUACUCAUGUUAUCAAUUACUAGAACUGAUCGGAAAAAUAAUUCUCUGAGGUAGCCUCAUCAAAGUGAUCAGUAUUAACUUCACACGAUUAGUUGACAUUAUUUUGUAUAUACUCCAUUUCAUAUAUCAGGUAUAUGAUUAUAUUAUAACUUAAAUUGUAGUGGAAGCUACUGUAUGAAGUCUGUAUCGUGAGAGCACUGACAUGGUAAAAGCUAUAAUUGACAACACAAUUGCAGAUGAGCAGUGUUGGCAACUAGAAUUGCACGGGAUGAUGAAGAAGUUUUUGUGAUUAUUAGUUUUAGGUAAUAUAUUAUAUACGUAAACAAAUUAAAAUUUCUGAUUACUGACUCCUUUAAUGAUGUAUCAGGAUUUGGUCUGUUAAUUCUUCAGAUGUUUCUUUAUCCUGUACUGGAGCGAACUUUUGGUGCCAUCUUGGUUUCUCGUAUUGGAGCUGUAUGUCCUGAAAGAAAACGUGAUAAUCUGUCAUUGUUCAUUUGACAUGACUUUAUCCAGAUAUAUAUGGUUUAAUCCUUUUUGUUGUCUAUAUGAAGGUUGCAACCAUACCGCUUCUAACAUGUUACCCAUAUAUAGCUAAGUUGUCCGGGAACUUGCUUUUUGCUGUGCUCAGUUGUGCAUCUAUCUUGAUGAAUGUCUUGAUGGUAAGUUGAUUAGAACCAACUCUUUAAUUAUACUAUCCCCGACAAUUAAAUGCAUGUAAUAAUUAGCUGAUAGAUAGGUGGGUUACGCUUGUUCUAACUGCUAAUCUUCUAACAGAUUUUCUGAUUCUGUUUCUUAAUCAUAACCAGGUAUCAGUAUCGACAGGAUUGUAUCUUUUGCAAAACAGGGCUGUGGUAUGUUUUACUGAUUAACAAGUGUAGCUCUAUUUCACCCUUUAUUUUUAGGUAUCAGAUAAGUUAAGACUAACUGUCAAGAACUUGGCUUCAGUCCAGUGACCAACGAGGAGCUGCCAAUGGGAUUUCUAUGUCAGCCUUGUCUCUUUUUAAAGCAUUUGGUCCAGCUUGUGGGGGGUCAUUGUAAGUUUUCGUUUAAAAUUGGCUUAUUAUGCAGAAGUUUGUGUUGCUCUCAUAAAUCAUUUUCCAAGUCGGACAUCUUACUUCCUGAAACUCUGACACAUACAUAAAAUUUCCUUGAUACUCAUAAGUCCAGACUUGUAGUUCCACUCUCUUAACUUUAUGUCUUUUACACCGUCACCAAUAUAUUUACAACUUACAAGGUUUAACGCGGAUUGCCUAUCAAACUUGCAAAAUCACUGCUGCAACUCUAGUCAUUUUAUAAGCAUUAUUCAUAUUAGGUACCAGAUAUAUAGAUGAUAGUGUUUAUCUAGUCUUCUAUCUCAUUAUUCCUCAACUUCGCGCAGCUUUUCUUGGGCACAGACGCGGCAGAACCCUACUUUUCUUCCAGGUACACUGUCCAUCAGAACUACUAGCAGCCAUAAUGCUCAGUUUCAAUAUAUCUGCUCCUUAUUAAUAUCUCGAGUCUCGUUCUUUACUCAAAGACUGCAAUAUUUUGAUGCAGGCGAUCAAAUAGUAUUUUCCAUUCUGAACUCGAUUGAAUUCAUUGGGCUUGCUAUGACCUUCAAACCUUUCCUUGUGUUACCAAAUGACGAUAGUCAGUAAUACAAUUUGUGCCUUGCUAUAGUACUCGCUUCCUUGUUCGAAACUCAGAGUUUCUGUAUGCCAUGAGAUUGAUUCAGUGCGAGAAUUGCAUUCAAGUAAAGAGUGGAUUGGAUGUAGAAUUACUGAAGAUCUUCAGAGGUGGCGAAAUGAUUUAGAAAAUGUGUAUCAAAUGUGUAAUCGGUAUCUUACUUGAGGCAACUAAAUAAUGUCUUUAAAAACCUGGUUACAACGUUAGUUCAGGUUACGUGAAAUUGUUAUUUAUAAAAUGAUAUGAAGCAGGUCAAUUAUAUCGAUUAAAUUAUUUGAAUUUACUAUUUUAUAUUUGAUUUUUCUAUGAUGUGCUCAUGCACACACGAUAAACAUAAAAUGUAAAAAGUUUAUGUUGUUCUGAUUAGCUUAUACUCUUUAAUAAUAAUAGAUUUCUCCUAUCACGAUAAAUAUAUCAAUCAAAAUUAUCCAAAUUCAUAUAUUUUAAUGUUUAAUUUUCAUGAACAACACAAAAAACCCUUUUAUAUAAUUAAACACAAACUUGCACCGAGGUAAGAUGAAGUUGUUCUUUUGUUUUGAAAGUGGAGGCCAAAUGAUAUUGUUUGACAGUGAAAUUAGAAAAUAUUUUUAAAAUGUACCUGUUUAUUUUAUUUAAACAUAAAUGAACGCAGCGAACAAAUAUUCACGCGGAGAAAGUCCAAUCCAAUGCAAAACUCACGUAUACCGUCCGACCUUUGAAUACCUACUACCCUUGACCUUGACACCUUCUCAGCUCUCUCUCUCUCUCUCGUUAACGACUAAAAAAAAUUAGAAGGAAAAAAAAACACGGGGCGAUUUAGGGGUCGAUUUAUCCCCAAUCCAAAACCCUAAAUCGAACCUAACCCUAACCCUAAUUCCAAUCAUGUCCAGAAAACACUUUCUCAUUUCCCUUUUCAUCCUCAUCAUCACCCUCCACACCCUCCCCACCGUCCGAUCAACCUCCGACGAUUCCAAUCUCUGCUCCAAUUCCCCCAUCUCUCUGUGCCCGAUCAGCUGUUUCCGACCCGACCCGGUUUGCGGCACCGACGGCGUGACCUACUGGUGCGGAUGCGGCGACGCGCAUUGUGCGGGGACUAGGGUGGCUAAAUUGGGGGCGUGUGAUGGUAAUGAUAGCUCUGUUUCGGGUCAGGCUUUGUUGUUGAUUAACAUUCUUUGGCUUACUCUUCUUGCGUUUUUCGUCUUGUUCGGGCUUCUUUGAAUGGGGAAAUUUGAUUUAAUUGUUGGUUUGAUUGACUCUGAUCAUUCUUUUUGUAUGUAGUGUACAAUUGUUGUCGAGUUUGAGUAUAUGUAAACUUCGGGUGUCCAUGGAUUAUAUUUCAAAUCGGAUGUUAUUCUUUUGAAUCUUAUGAUCAUAUAAUUGAAGUAUUGGUUGCAUACACGAAAUGUUUUUACUCUAGCAGAAUUCUGUUUGGCGAAUCUUUAGAUUAGAAUGACAAUUAGAUUACUGGAGUUAAGACUAUGUUCUCCAGCUCGGUGACCGGGUCAAAGUGAAAGUUAGGCUUUGAUUUGUUUGUGUUAACACUAACAAUAAGAGUUACAUGGAGC
RNAcentral lists this long non-coding RNA (20536 nucleotides) under Daucus carota (carrot). RNAcentral describes it as "long non-coding RNA (DCAR_LNC001735)". Lineage: Eukaryota; Viridiplantae; Streptophyta; Magnoliopsida; Apiales; Apiaceae. The record is from RNAcentral.